AACACAUGCAAGUCGCACGAGAACGUUCUGGCUUUGCCAGGACAAGUACAGUGGCGGACGGGUGCGUAUCGCGUAGAUAACCUGCCCUUAGGCGCGGGACAAUCACGGGAAACCGUGGCUAAUACCGCACGUCGUCUGGGCCCCGCAUGGGGACCAGAUGAAAGCUUGGGGUUACCCAGGCGCCUUGGGAUGGGUCUGCGUUGGAUUAGCUUGUUGGUGAGGCAACGGCUCACCAAGGCGACGAUCCAUAGCUGGUCUGAGAGGACGAUCAGCCACACUGUGACUGAGACACGGCCCAGACUCCUACGGGAGGCAGCAGUGGGGAAUCUUGCACAAUGGGGUCACCCCUGAUGCAGCCAUGCCGCGUGGAGGAAGACACCCCUAUGGGGCGUAAACUCCUUUUCUGAAUGAAGAAACCCCUGUAGGUUCAGGGCGCGACGGUAGUUCAGGAAUAAGCACCGGCUAACUCCGUGCCAGCAGCCGCGGUAAUACGGAGGGUGCAAGCGUUGUCCGGAAUCACUGGGUGUAAAGGGUGUGCAGGCGGGGCAACAAGUCGGAUGUGAAACCCCAUGGCUCAACCAUGGAGGUGCAUUCGAAACUGUUGCUCUUGAGUCCCGGAGAGGCUGUCGGAAUUCGUGGUGUAGCGGUGAAAUGCGUAGAUAUCACGAGGAACACCAGAGGCGAAAGCGGGCAGCUGGACGGGUACUGACGCUCAGGCACGAAAGCGUGGGGAGCAAACAGGAUUAGAUACCCUGGUAGUCCACGCCGUAAACGAUGAACGCUCGCCGUUGCCCCGGUUAAGGGGCAGUGGCUAAGCUAACGCGUUAAGCGUUCCACCUGGGGAGUAUGGUCACAAGGC
RNAcentral lists this ribosomal RNA (859 nucleotides) under uncultured Bacteroidota bacterium. RNAcentral describes it as "bacterial SSU rRNA". It matches the Rfam family "Bacterial small subunit ribosomal RNA", at positions 50 to 894 of the family's 1533-position model. The record is from RNAcentral. Lineage: Bacteria; Pseudomonadati; Bacteroidota.